RNAcentral lists this microRNA precursor (82 nucleotides) under Carica papaya (papaya). Its description in RNAcentral is "miR160a stem-loop (cpa-MIR160a)". Its record names the gene cpa-MIR160a. It matches the Rfam family "mir-160 microRNA precursor family". Rfam says of the family: The hairpin precursors (represented here) are predicted based on base pairing and cross-species conservation -- their extents are not known. Lineage: Eukaryota; Viridiplantae; Streptophyta; Magnoliopsida; Brassicales; Caricaceae. The record is from miRBase by way of RNAcentral.
UGCCUGGCUCCCUGUAUGCCAUCUGCAAAGCGCCCAUCAGGAGUGGUGGCCUUGGUGGAUGGCGUGCGAGGAGCCAUGCAUG